Long non-coding RNA from Otolemur garnettii (small-eared galago), 2071 nucleotides. RefSeq lists it as uncharacterized. The record is from RefSeq and is a predicted model, not a curated record. The transcript has 2 exons. NCBI's taxonomy places the organism in Eukaryota, Metazoa, Chordata, Mammalia, Primates, Galagidae.
UCCCUGGCCCCUCUUCCAGCCUCGGGUGCUGUAAAAAGUAGGCGCGCAGCCACGGGCGGAGCUGGGGACAGGCCUCAGCUGGUCCCAGGAUGAACGAGGAGUUUGAGAAGUUUGGUUUCGGCACGGGAUUGUGCGGGGACCCUGCGCAAUCCCUCUGCGCAUCUCGCAUCUCGAGGAGUUCAGAUGCCUUGGGAUGGGUCCCAUCUGCAGAGGAGGGGGCCGGUAGGAGGCCCGCGGGCUGUACCUUGAUACCUUUGGAGACUUCUCUUGCCUCACCCUACUCUGCCUUUGUCCUUGAGGUUUAUGCAGACCAGUCCCAAACACAGGCUAACUUUCCUGGCUUCUCAGUAACACAGGUUUCAUCCCUGGCUUCCACGCACGGGCUUCUGCUCCCCUCUUUUCAUUCCCCUAUAUCUGUUUCCAUUAGGAAUCCCCCGACCAUUGAGGAAUGUUAGUUAGGGCGAGCCCCACUCCUUUUUACAGAUGGAGACCCAGAGCCUGCUCUCAGAAACAACCAAAAUAAGAUUAGAAUCAGAAUGUAGUCUCCCUAGGUGCUCGGUGCUCUCAGUUCAAUGCUGUUUGCCUGAAGGGAGUGGGUGAGCUCCUAGCUCAGGAGAUAGCCCUCUGAAAGAGAAUUUCAAGGCCAACUAUAUUUGUCAACGGUGCUAGCUCCCCUUCUUGGAGAUUGGCGAUGCUCAUUAGCUUGUCAAGGUCUGAGAAGCUGUUACAGACGCCCUAGUUAUUUAGUUUACUAUUACAACUGCACCUUGGGAUUCCAAGCAGUCCUGUUAUGUCUCUGCUCUGAUUCCCAAGGAGCCCAACCCAUUGGCUGUGUUCUGUUUGAAGAUUUGGGGAGCUGCAUCCCUUUCCCAGGGAAUUUUUCCUACAGGAGACCCACCCCAGUGAGGACAUUGCUGUCCCUAACCAGCCAGAGACCCCGUGAAUUUGAUAAUUCCUUUACUUUGUUGGAGAAAUGAAGCCAAGGUUAUCCAGAUGGUUUCCAAGUCUAAAGAAACUUCACCUCUAAGAGAUCCUGGCUUUGAACGUGAACAUGGUAGGGUGGGUCCUGCUCACCAAAGAAAAGAAAACUCUCUGGAGCUGGGGUGAAUUGCUGGCCAGGCCUCUAAGGCUUCCAUCUUGCUGGGGGCAUAGAGAUUUCCAGGGCUGGCUAUACCAACUUCUCCCAGGGCCCACUUCCCUGGGCUGGCAGCACCAUACCGGCCUGGGCCAGCAGAAAGUUUGAGUCUUCACUGGCAGUAGGGGAGGUGGUGAGAGGAAUGACCUCUGCCCAGCAGCUUCCUUUCCACACCAUCCAAAGGAAGAGCCAAGAUGGGUGAAGAUUGAUUUUGCCUCAACUCAAGAGAAUUUCUGAUUCUCCUCGUGCUAUGAUUUUGGCACAAGAUUCUGGACACUUGGAACUGAGCUGUGUACCCCUAUAGCCUAAACAAUGGGUUUCAGUUUGAGUUUUUGUUCUUUCUUUCUUUUGUAGAUUAUUGCCUAAGAUGUAUCCUCAGCUCAGGUCCAGCCCCCUCAGGAUUUCUUUUUGUCUCCAGCCCCGGUGCUGUCUGUGGUCAGGUGACCUUAUGGAUUAAGGAUAAGGAGUGGAUAUCUCCUUGGCCUUCAUGGUGCCUCACCCAUCCGGACGUACCUGUAGCAUUCUAGAGCUCACUGGCUCUUCUAGAUGUGCCUUCCCGCUCGGCUUCCAGUGGCUUGGUGGUCCUUCUGUUUGCCAGAUGUUGAGAAGGACUUGUAAGACACCCAGCAUACCUGCCUUCCCCCUCGAGGACCCAUGCCAUAGCAGCGGCCAUCUGACCUGGCUCAGCACUUUUGGAUACUUCAGACUCCCUCUUUGGACAUCAGGACUCGGUCCAGCCAAGACCAUCUGGGCAGCUUCCAGCCCAAAAGUCUGGGGCUACUUGUGGACCCAGAAGAGGAUUUCUAUAGUGUUCUGCAAAGGCCAAAAGGGAGAGAUGAGGGAAGACAAGGGAGAGGAGACUGAAGUGCCUCAUUCAGUAGUUUAGUGGUGAUUAUUACACUAAUAUGCUUUUCCAAAUAAAGUUUGGUUGUCUGA